UACAAGUAAGUUCAAUUCCCAUUCUUCCUCUGUCUUAGUCCUUCUCGAACUGUAAUUCAAGAUGGCGGAGGCAAAUCGCAGAACAUCGCGGUUGAGCAUAAAACAUGUAAUUUCAGGAACACUUGUGCACUCUACUGCAGCCAGUAGAAUGGAAAUAUGUCCAAAGAGGAUUAUAGGAGUUGAUCAUGACGGAAAGAUAGUUUUUAUUGAUAAUGCUUCUUGUAUGGAGGAACUUGCUGAAAGGUUUGGAUUUAAUGAGAGAGAUGUAAUCACCCUAAAAGAGAACAGACAGUUUUUGAUGCCUGGAUUAGUUGAUACUCAUAUUCAUGCUCCGCAGUAUAUAUUCACUGGAACAGGCUAUGAUGUGCCUCUCCUACAGUGGCUUGAAAAGUAUACAUUUCCCUCUGAAGCAAGAUUUGCAAACAAAGAAUUUGCUCAGAAUGCAUACAGAAAAGUUGUGGAAAGGUUACUCAAGAAUGGAACAACCACUGCAUCAUACUUUGCAACUAUUCACUAUGAUGCUACAGUAGUCCUCUGUGAUGUUAUAGCUGAACUUGGACAACGAGCAUAUGUAGGAAAAGUUUGUAUGGACAGGAACAGUCCAAACUACUACAUUGAGGGAACAGAGGACUCAGUUAAGAAUGCUGACAGGAUUAUUACCUAUAUAUUAGGGAUGAAGAAUCCACUCAUUACUCCUGUCAUCACUCCAAGGUUUGUUCUGAGUUGCACCUCAGAUCUGAUGAAGAAGUUAGGGAGUCUUGCAAAGAAUUACAACCUCCCCAUACAGAGUCACUUAAAUGAAAAUAAGAAGGAAAUAUCGUUGGUUAAAGAAGAAUUUCCAAAUGAGAGCUAUACUGCAGUGUAUGAUAAGCAUAACCUUCUUAAUGGUAAGACAUAUAUGGCCCAUUGCUGCCACUCCACAGAAGAGGAAAUUAAUCUUAUGUUAGAAAGAAAUUCUGCCGUCGCUCAUUGUCCGACAUCCAAUUUUAACAUUCGAAGCGGUGUGGCUGAUAUCAGACACUACUUGAACAAAAAGAUCAAAGUUGGAUUAGGGACAGAUGUUUCUGGUGGAGAAUCACCAUCGAUGUUGGUAGCCAUUCGUGAUUGUGUCAAAGCUUCCAAUGCAAUCAGUUUUGGCAAAUCUGAGGAAUUCACAGCCCUAACUUAUGAAGAAGCUUUCUUUCUUGCUACUUUAGGUGGUAGUCAAGAGGAGAAUUUACUGUUAUCGAGGGUUUCAGCAGGAUUGUGAAGAGGGCAUGAAAAUUCAGCGGAAAACAAUUUCGAGCUUGAUUUCCUUUCAGUCCUAUGAAAUGUCUGUUAUUGUUGUGGUAGUCCAUGGCAAUCUUUAUCAAGUGAUGUGUUUUAAUUCCGUUGUAGUGCUUGGACUUGACGACAAAAUAGGAAAUUUUGAGGUAAAGUGAAGCGUAAUACCUACCGAUUUUCACGAACACUUCCCGAUGAAGAAGCUUGACGUUGUGUUUAACUUUUUUAUUUAGGUCGGCAAAGAUUUCGAUGCAUUAUUAAUUGACGUGGAAGUUCCAGAUUCCCCAUUUGAUUGUUUUGAUGCAGAUGAUUCAAAGGAUGCAGUCCAAAAGUUUCUUUACCUUGGAGAUGACAGGAACAUUCGACAGGUUUACGUGGCGG
RNAcentral lists this unclassified non-coding RNA (1644 nucleotides) under Pocillopora damicornis (cauliflower coral). RNAcentral describes it as "guanine deaminase-like, transcript variant X3". Lineage: Eukaryota; Metazoa; Cnidaria; Anthozoa; Scleractinia; Pocilloporidae. The record is from RNAcentral.